ACAGAGGUCCCAAGCGUUGUUCGGAAUCACUGGGCGUAAAGGGUGCGUAGGCGGUAUAGCAAGACUUGUGUGAAAUCUCCAUGCUUAACGGGGAGGGAGCCUGGGAAACUGCUGGGCUUGAGGAUUGGAAGGGAGAAUGGAAUUCUUGGUGUAGCGGUGAAAUGCGUAGAUAUCAGGAGGAACACCAGUGGCGAAGGCGAGUUUCUGGACUAAACCUGACGCUGAUGCGCGAAGGCGCGGGGAUCAAACGG
RNAcentral lists this ribosomal RNA (251 nucleotides) under uncultured prokaryote. Its description in RNAcentral is "partial 16S rRNA". It matches the Rfam family "Bacterial small subunit ribosomal RNA", at positions 525 to 775 of the family's 1533-position model. The record is from RNAcentral.